Molecule: ribosomal RNA, 400 nt
Filed under: uncultured bacterium
Lineage: Bacteria
Description: bacterial SSU rRNA
Rfam family: Bacterial small subunit ribosomal RNA
Source: RNAcentral
UAGGGAAUAUUGCGCAAUGGGGGAAACCCUGACGCAGCAACGCCGCGUGAGUGAGGAAGGUCUUCGGAUUGUAAAACUCUUUUAUUUGGGAAAAAUGGUCGCAGAGCUAAUACCCUGUGAUUUGAUGGUACCAAAGGAAUAAGCACCGGCUAACUUCGUGCCAGCAGCCGCGGUAAUACGAAGGGUGCAAGCGUUGUUCGGAAUCAUUGGGCGUAAAGCGCGCGCAGGCGGGUCGGUAAGUCAGAUGUGAAAUCUCGAAGCUCAACUUCGAAACUGCGUCUGAAACUGCUGGUCUAGAAUGUCGGAGGGGGCAGGGGAAUUUCACGUGUAGGGGUAAAAUCCGUAGAGAUGUGAAGGAACACCGGGGGCGAAGGCGCCUGCCUGGACGAUUAUUGACGCU